CGUCGUUUCUUUCGACCAAAAGGAAGAGAGGUCCCAGAUGCGGCCGCCCUUCUCCCCACGCACAUUUCUUCUUUCUUUCUCUCCCAGACCCAUUCGCGGCGGAGGCUGGAGGCAGAAAGGUGGGCGCCGCCGCCGCAGAAGAGGGCCAGCGCGCCCGCACCGCUGGUCAAGUUGCGUCUGGAGGCGAUGAGGGGGAGCAACCGCGCCCGGAGGAGGUCGUCCCCGGAGCAGCACGCUGCUGACGACUAUGAUGCUGCCUGGAUGCUGGACGAGGACGACUCCCUCAAGCUCGUCGCCUCCCAGUUUCACGCGCUGGCAGUAGUAGCGACGACGGCCAGUGAGCAGCAACCUAAGGUGCCGGCGUUAAGCGCGGAUGGCCAGAUCUGUGCGCGCGGAGGGCAUGGCCGAUGCUGGGAGGGAGGUCUUGCCGCCGCCCUCCAAGCAGUCGGUAGGCGCAAUGGAUCCUAAAGCUCCUGAAUGGAUCAAAAGGGGUCAGGAUUGGGGUGGAAGCCCCUGUUAGGACACCUUCUCCCAGUCAAGCACGAGCCGGUGGCGGUGACGCUGCAUAUGUUAUCCAGGAUCCUGCUCAGGGGUUGUACCAUUGGCGACGAGAUCCAGAAGAUGGCCACGGCGGCAGUGGUGGCGGCGGUUGCCCCGGGUGGUGAUGUAGAGGGGAGGAACCAGUAGCAGGUGAGCACGAAGAUCUCUGAAAGUUUUUCUUCGGAAUAUAAUAACCAGGUUGCGUUUGUUUCGUGCACAUACAUAAAUGGAUCGCUCUUCUUCUUGGAGCCCCAGGUUGUGGCAAAACCCCCUAUUGCUAGCACUUGCAGGAAAGCUCAACCAAAACCAAGAGAUCAUGGAUGUUGUGGUGGCAGCGGCUACUCCUGGUGCGUGCUGAUCAGGACACAGCCCAACAUGGACGUGUAAAACACAUGCAAUCAGAUUAUCUCCAGGCUAGCCAUGUGUCAAACAAAAUGCAAAAAAGAAAUUGAAAUGGGCGCCACCUACCUGGCACCGCAGAGCUUCCGCUCAGGUGUCGCACCGAGGGUGAGCCUGCAUCCCCGUCGUCGACCUUGCGCACAGGGAAGGUCGCCGCUGCUGGCCGAGGUCGCUCAGGUCGAGAGCGCACCCACCGGCCUGAAGCUCAUCUAGGAGCCCUGAACUCAAGGUCAGCGGCAGAGAUGGGCGUCCCUACCAGUGGCUCUUCAAGAGAGAGGAGUGAGAACAUGAUGGAGGCGGGGUGUUCGAUCUGUGGUCCACUUCGAUGCGGGACGUGGAGGCGCGAUCCGACAAAGCCUCCUUACGCUCCGACAAAGCAGAUUUUGUUUUUUCUACCAUUAAACCUGCAAAGAAAAGAAAUCUUCUCUGGAGCAAUUAGUAUUCUCUAUUUUUCUAACGAGUGUAUGUGAACUCAUUCAGACAGUAGAGGAACAGUUAUCACUAUCUUUGUGUUUUAGUAAGUAUUCGCUCCGUUCCAAAAUAGACCCAACUUUGUACUAACUUCAGUACAAAGUUGAGUCAUCUAUUUUGGAACGGAGGGAGUAUAUGUGGAUGCACAUCAAGUGUUCUCUGUUUUUAAUGGGUUAUAUGUUGAUGCAUAGAAAAUGUAUAUGAGGAUUUCCAUUCCGGUAUACAUGGGUAGUACAUGGAGCCUUAUUUAGUUUGUCCGAACAGUAAUACUUAUUCACAGAUUUUGUUA
Non-coding RNA from Aegilops tauschii subsp. strangulata, 1699 nucleotides. Lineage: Eukaryota; Viridiplantae; Streptophyta; Magnoliopsida; Poales; Poaceae. The record is from RefSeq and is a predicted model, not a curated record.